AGGUAAGCUACUAAGAGCGAAUGGUGGAUGCCUUGACUGGUAAAGGCGAUGAAGGACGUACUAGACUGCGAUAAGCUACGGGGAGCUGUCAAGAAGCUUUGAUCCGUAGAUUUCCGAAUGGGGCAACCCAAUGUAUAGAGAUAUACAUUACCUAUAUAGGAGCGAACGAGGGGAAUUGAAACAUCUUAGUACCCUCAGGAAAAGAAAUCAAUAGAGAUUGCGUCAGUAGCGGCGAGCGAAAGCGCAAGAGGGCAAACCCAGUGCUUGCACUGGGGGUUGUAGGACUGCAAUGUGCAAGAGGUAAGUUUAGCAGAACAUUCUGGAAAGUAUAACCAUAGAGGGUGAUAGUCCCGUAUGCGAAAAACAAACCUUAGCUAGCAGUAUCCUGAGUAGGGCGGGACACGAGGAAUCCUGUCUGAAUCCGGGUCGACCACGAUCCAACCCUAAAUACUAAUACCAGAUCGAUAGUGCACAAGUACCGUGAGGGAAAGGUGAAAAGAACUGAGGUGAUCAGAGUGAAAUAGAACCUGAAACCAUUUGCUUACAAUCAUUCAGAGCCUUAUGUAGCAAUACAGGGUGAUGGACUGCCUUUUGCAUAAUGAGCCUGCGAGUUGUGGUGUCUGGCAAGGUUAAGCAAACGCGAAGCCGUAGCGAAAGCGAGUCUGAAUAGGGCGCUUAGUCAGAUGCUGCAGACCCGAAACGAAGUGAUCUAUCCAUGAGCAAGUUGAAGCUAGUGUAAGAACUAGUGGAGGACUGAACCCAUAGGCGUUGAAAAGCCCCGGGAUGACUUGUGGAUAGGGGUGAAAGGCCAAUCAAACUUCGUGAUAGCUGGUUCUCUCCGAAAUAUAUUUAGGUAUAGCGUUGUGUCGUAAUAUAAGGGGGUAGAGCACUGAAUGGGCUAGGGCAUACACCAAUGUACCAAACCCUAUCAAACUCCGAAUACCUUAUAUGUAAUCACAGCAGUCAGGCGGCGAGUGAUAAAAUCCGUCGUCAAGAGGGAAACAACCCAGACUACCAGCUAAGGUCCCUAAAUCUUACUUAAGUGGAAAACGAUGUGAAGUUACUUAAACAACCAGGAGGUUGGCUUAGAAGCAGCCAUCCUUUAAAGAAAGCGUAAUAGCUCACUGGUCUAGUGAUUUUGCGCGGAAAAUAUAACGGGGCUAAAGUAAGUACCGAAGCUGUAGACUUAGUUUACUAAGUGGUAGGAGAGCGUUCUAUUUGCGUCGAAGGUAUACCGGUAAGGAGUGCUGGAGCGAAUAGAAGUGAGCAUGCAGGCAUGAGUAGCGAUAAUUAAUGUGAGAAUCAUUAACGCCGUAAACCCAAGGUUUCCUACGCGAUGCUCGUCAUCGUAGGGUUAGUCGGGUCCUAAGUCGAGUCCGAAAGGGGUAGACGAUGGCAAAUUGGUUAAUAUUCCAAUACCAACAUUAGUGUGCGAUGGAAGGACGCUUAGGGCUAAGGGGGCUAGCGGAUGGAAGUGCUAGUCUAAGGUCGUAGGAGGUUAUACAGGCAAAUCCGUAUAACAAUACUCCGAGAACUGAAAGGCUUUUUGAAGUCUUCGGAUGGAUAGAAGAACCCCUGAUGCCGUCGAGCCAAGAAAAGUUUCUAAGUUUAGCUAAUGUUGCCCGUACCGUAAACCGACACAGGUGGGUGGGAUGAGUAUUCUAAGGCGCGUGGAAGAACUCUCUUUAAGGAACUCUGCAAAAUAGCACCGUAUCUUCGGUAUAAGGUGUGGUUAGCUUUGUAUUAGGAUUUACUCCGAAAGCAAGGAAA
RNAcentral lists this ribosomal RNA (1770 nucleotides) under Campylobacter jejuni. RNAcentral's name for it is "partial 23S ribosomal RNA". It matches the Rfam family "Bacterial large subunit ribosomal RNA", at positions 1 to 1794 of the family's 2925-position model. The record is from RNAcentral. Lineage: Bacteria; Pseudomonadati; Campylobacterota; Epsilonproteobacteria; Campylobacterales; Campylobacteraceae.